GUAGGGAAUAUUGGACAAUGGGCGAAAGCCUGAUCCAGCCAUGCCGCGUGAUAGAUGAAGGCCCUCUGGGUUGUAAAUAUCUUUUAUCUGGGAAGAAACUCCUCUAUUCUUAGAGGCCUGACGGUACCAGAGGAAUAAGCACCGGCUAACUCCGUGCCAGCAGCCGCGGUAAUACGGAGGGUGCAAGCGUUAUCCGGAUUCACUGGGUUUAAAGGGUGCGUAGGCGGGUUGAUAAGUCAGUGGUGAAAGCUCCGGGCUUAACUUGGAAACUGCCAUUGAUCCUGUCAAUCUUGAAUGUCGUAGAGGUAAGCGGAAUGUUGCAUGUAGCGGUGAAAUGCUUAGAUAUGUUACAGAACACCAAUUGCGAAGGCAGCUUACUAUGCGAUAAUUGACGCUGAGGCACGAAAGCGUGGGGAGCAAACAGGAUUAGAAACCCUAGUAGUCC
Molecule: ribosomal RNA, 445 nt
Filed under: uncultured bacterium
Lineage: Bacteria
Description: partial 16S ribosomal RNA
Rfam family: Bacterial small subunit ribosomal RNA
Source: RNAcentral